UAAAAUUUAUAAAAUUAGGUAAUAAAGAAAUUUCUGAAACCUAAAGAAUUUGGCGGUAUUUUAAAUAAUUGGAGGAACCUGUUACUUAAUUGACAAUCCACAACAUAUCUUGCCUAAAUUUUAUUUGUAUAUCGUCGUUUUGAUAAUAUUUAAAAAUAAUAAUCGAUCUUAAUAAAUUUUUAAAAUUCAGAUCAAGGUGCAGUAUAUUUAGGUAGUAAUGGGUUACAAUAUAUUUAUAUAUUACGAAUAUAAAGUUGAAAUUAUAUUGAAGGUGGAUUCAAAAGUAAAAUUAAACUAAAAAGUUAGUUUGAUUAAUAAUUUAAAAUAUGC
This 330-nucleotide ribosomal RNA is filed under the name Paravaejovis hoffmanni. RNAcentral's name for it is "partial 12S ribosomal RNA". Lineage: Eukaryota; Metazoa; Arthropoda; Arachnida; Scorpiones; Vaejovidae. The record is from RNAcentral.